GUCAAGUCAUCAUGCCCCUUAUGUCCAGGGCUUCACGCAUGCUACAAUGGCCGGUACAGAGGGCUGCGAAGCCGCGAGGUGGAGCGAAUCCCGCAAAGCCUGUCGUAGUUCGGAUUGCAGGCUGCAACUCGCCUGCAUGAAGCCGGAGUUGCUAGUAACCGUGGGUCAGCCACACUACGGUGAAUACGUUCCCGGGCCUU
RNAcentral lists this ribosomal RNA (200 nucleotides) under uncultured organism. RNAcentral describes it as "partial small subunit ribosomal RNA". It matches the Rfam family "Bacterial small subunit ribosomal RNA", at positions 1184 to 1382 of the family's 1533-position model. The record is from RNAcentral.